UACGGGGGGGGCAAGCGUUGUUCGGAAUUACUGGGCGUAAAGGGCUCGUAGGCGGCCAACUAAGUCAGACGUGAAAUCCCUCGGCUUAACCGGGGAACUGCGUCUGAUACUGGAUGGCUUGAGGUUGGGAGAGGGAUGUGGAAUUCCAGGUGUAGCGGUGAAAUGCGUAGAUAUCUGGAGGAACACCGGUGGCGAAGGCGGCAUCCUGGACCGGUAUUGACGCUGAGGCGCGAAAGCUAGGGGAGCAAACGGG
Molecule: ribosomal RNA, 253 nt
Filed under: uncultured bacterium
Lineage: Bacteria
Description: partial 16S ribosomal RNA
Rfam family: Bacterial small subunit ribosomal RNA
Source: RNAcentral